CCUACGGUGGGCAGCAGUGAGGAAUAUUGGUCAAUGGCCGAGAGGCUGAACCAGCCAAGUCGCGUGAGGGAAGACGGCCCUACGGGUUGUAAACCUCUUUUGUCGGGGAGCAAAGCGAACCACGUGUGGUUCAUUGAGAGUACCCGAAGAAAAAGCAUCGGCUAACUCCGUGCCAGCAGCCGCGGUAAUACGGAGGAUGCGAGCGUUAUCCGGAUUUACUGGGGGUAAAGGGAGCGUAGACGGUGCGCCAAGUCUGGAGUGAAAUGCCGCAGCUUAACUGCGGAACUGCUUUGGAAACUGGCGAACGAGAGUGCGGGAGGGGUAAGCGGAAUUCCUAGUGUAGCGGUGAAAUGCGUAGAUAUUAGGAGGAACACCGGUGGCGAAGGCGGCUUACUGGACCGUAACUGACGUUGAGGCUCGAAAGCGUGGGGAGCAAACAGGAUUAGAUACCCGUGUAGUC
RNAcentral lists this ribosomal RNA (460 nucleotides) under uncultured bacterium. RNAcentral describes it as "partial 16S ribosomal RNA". It matches the Rfam family "Bacterial small subunit ribosomal RNA", at positions 338 to 795 of the family's 1533-position model. The record is from RNAcentral.